ACUUCGGGGUAACUUCGCGCAAGGGCGAAGCCUGCCGCAGCGACGCCGCGUGAGGGAUGACGGCCUUCGGGUUGUAAACCUCUUUCAGCUCCGACGAAGCGGAAGUGACGGUAGGAGCAGAAGAAGCACCGGCCAACUACGUGCCAGCAGCCGCGGUAAUACGUAGGGUGCAAGCGUUGUCCGGAAUUAUUGGGCGUAAAGAGCUCGUAGGCGGUCUGUCGCGUCGGCUGUGAAAACUCGGGGCUCAACUCCGAGCUUGCAGUCGAUACGGGCAGGCUAGAGUUCGGCAGGGGAGACUGGAAUUCCUGGUGUAGCGGUGAAAUGCGCAGAUAUCAGGAGGAACACCGGUGGCGAAGGCGGGUCUCUGGGCCGAUACUGACGCUGAGGAGCGAAAGCGUGGGGAGCGAACAGGAUUAGAUACCCUGGUAGUCCACGCCGUAAACGUUGGGCGCUAGGUGUGGGAUCCCUUCCACGGGUUCCGUGCCGCAGCUAACGCAUUAAGCGCCCCGCCUGGGGAGUACGGCC
This 525-nucleotide ribosomal RNA is filed under the name uncultured bacterium. Its description in RNAcentral is "bacterial SSU rRNA". It matches the Rfam family "Bacterial small subunit ribosomal RNA", at positions 350 to 887 of the family's 1533-position model. The record is from RNAcentral.